Molecule: ribosomal RNA, 998 nt
Filed under: Halomonas sp.
Lineage: Bacteria; Pseudomonadati; Pseudomonadota; Gammaproteobacteria; Oceanospirillales; Halomonadaceae
Description: bacterial SSU rRNA
Rfam family: Bacterial small subunit ribosomal RNA
Source: RNAcentral
CUGAACGAUGGAGCUUGCUCAGGCGUCGAGCGGCGGACGGGUGAGUAAUGCAUAGGAAUCUGCCCGGUAGUGGGGGAUAACCUGGGGAAACCCAGGCUAAUACCGCAUACGUCCUACGGGAGAAAGCAGGGGAUCUUCGGACCUUGCGCUAUCGGAUGAGCCUAUGUCGGAUUAGCUUGUUGGUGAGGUAAUGGCUCACCAAGGCGACGAUCCGUAGCUGGUCUGAGAGGAUGAUCAGCCACAUCGGGACUGAGACACGGCCCGAACUCCUACGGGAGGCAGCAGUGGGGAAUAUUGGACAAUGGGCGAAAGCCUGAUCCAGCCAUGCCGCGUGUGUGAAGAAGGCUUUCGGGUUGUAAAGCACUUUCAGUGAGGAAGAAGGCCUUGGGGCUAAUACCCCCGAGGAAGGACAUCACUCACAGAAGAAGCACCGGCUAACUCCGUGCCAGCAGCCGCGGUAAUACGGAGGGUGCGAGCGUUAAUCGGAAUUACUGGGCGUAAAGCGCGCGUAGGCGGCGUGAUAAGCCGGUUGUGAAAGCCCCGGGCUCAACCUGGGAACGGCAUCCGGAACUGUCAGGCUAGAGUGCAGGAGAGGAAGGUAGAAUUCCCGGUGUAGCGGUGAAAUGCGUAGAGAUCGGGAGGAAUACCAGUGGCGAAGGCGGCCUUCUGGACUGACACUGACGCUGAGGUGCGAAAGCGUGGGUAGCAAACAGGAUUAGAUACCCUGGUAGUCCACGCCGUAAACGAUGUCGACUAGCCGUUGGGGUCCUUGAGACCUUUGUGGCGCAGUUAACGCGAUAAGUCGACCGCCUGGGGAGUACGGCCGCAAGGUUAAAACUCAAAUGAAUUGACGGGGGCCCGCACAAGCGGUGGAGCAUGUGGUUUAAUUCGAUGCAACGCGAAGAACCUUACCUACCCUUGACAUCGUGCGAACUUGGUAGAGAUACCUUGGUGCCUUCGGGAGCGCACAGACAGGUGCUGCAUGGCUUCGUCAGCUC